UCGCGGCCUAUCAGCUUGUUGGUGGGGUAACGGCCCACCAAGGCAACGACGGGUAGCUGGUUUGAGAGAACGAUCAGCCACACUGGGACUGAGACACGGCCCAGACUCCUACGGGAGGCAGCAGUGGGGAAUAUUGCACAAUGGGCGCAAGCCUGAUGCAGCGACGCCGCGUGGGGGAUGACGGCCUUCGGGUUGUAAACCUCUUUCAGUAGGGACGAAGCGCAAGUGACGGUACCUACAGAAGAAGCACCGGCCAACUACGUGCCAGCAGCCGCGGUAAUACGUAGGGUGCGAGCGUUGUCCGGAAUUACUGGGCGUAAAGAGCUCGUAGGUGGUUUGUCACGUUGUUCGUGAAAACUCACAACUCAAUUGUGGGCGUGCGGGCGAUACGGGCAGACUUGAGUACUGCAGGGGAGACUGGAAUUCCUGGUGUAGCGGUGGAAUGCGCAGAUAUCAGGAGGAACACCGGUGGCGAAGGCGGGUCUCUGGCAGUAACUGACGCUGAGGAGCGAAAGCGUGGGGAGCGAACAGGAUUAGAUACCCUGGUAGUCCACGCCGUAAACGGUGGGUACUAGAUGUGGGAUUCCUUCCUUGGGUUCCGUGUCGUAGCUAACGCAUUAAGUACCCCGCCUGGGGAGUACA
Molecule: ribosomal RNA, 642 nt
Filed under: uncultured Actinomycetes bacterium
Lineage: Bacteria; Bacillati; Actinomycetota; Actinomycetes
Description: bacterial SSU rRNA
Rfam family: Bacterial small subunit ribosomal RNA
Source: RNAcentral